CUCUUGGCCCAUGAGCUUUAGCUAUUGUCUGUUGGGGGGCAUGGCUUCUAUAGAAGACAGCUUCCAGUAGAACUCAGGAUUGGUCAGGCACAGGAUGAGGAAACAUCUCUCAGACAUAAGAGUGGGUCUCUCCUUUCCUGCCACUUCCUCCAUGAAGCUGAAAGCUGAAGCUGCCUCCUGCCCCCACCAACUGGCCUCACCUGCAUGUUUGGGCUGGGUUCUCUCAGGCCAUGGCUUGCUGCUGUCACCAGCCGGUGCCCUUCCACUGAGCCAUGAAGUGAAGAUUUCAGAAUCAAGCCCUUGACCUGCCCUGAAUGCUUAUCUCGUCUGCGCAAGCCUCAAGCAUCCCUGACCCCACUGCACCGGGAAUGCCCUGGCCAUGCCAGGCUAUGCUCCCAGCCCCUGAGCACUUCAAACCCCAUUCCCCUGACC
This 432-nucleotide long non-coding RNA is filed under the name Fukomys damarensis (Damara mole-rat). Its description in RNAcentral is "lncRNA (ENSFDAG00000021960.1)". The record is from RNAcentral. Lineage: Eukaryota; Metazoa; Chordata; Mammalia; Rodentia; Bathyergidae.